Molecule: ribosomal RNA, 859 nt
Filed under: uncultured bacterium
Lineage: Bacteria
Description: bacterial SSU rRNA
Rfam family: Bacterial small subunit ribosomal RNA
Source: RNAcentral
GAGUUUGAUCCUGGCUCAGAUUGAACGCUGGCGGCAGGCCUAACACAUGCAAGUCGAACGGUAACAGGAUGUGCUUGCACAUCGCUGACGAGUGGCGGACGGGUGAGUAAUGCUUGGGAACUUGCCUUUGCGAGGGGGAUAACAGUUGGAAACGACUGCUAAUACCGCAUAAUGUCUUCGGACCAAACGGGGCUUAGGCUCCGGCGCAAAGAGAGGCCCAAGUGAGAUUAGCUAGUUGGUAAGGUAACGGCUUACCAAGGCGACGAUCUCUAGCUGUUCUGAGAGGAAGAUCAGCCACACUGGGACUGAGACACGGCCCAGACUCCUACGGGAGGCAGCAGUGGGGAAUAUUGCACAAUGGGGGAAACCCUGAUGCAGCCAUGCCGCGUGUGUGAAGAAGGCCUUCGGGUUGUAAAGCACUUUCAGUUGUGAGGAAAAGUUAGUAGUUAAUACCUGCUAGCCGUGACGUUAACAACAGAAGAAGCACCGGCUAACUCCGUGCCAGCAGCCGCGGUAAUACGGAGGGUGCGGGCGUUAAUCGGAAUUACUGGGCGUAAAGCGCACGCAGGCGGUUUGUUAAGCUAGAUGUGAAAGCCCCGGGCUCAACCUGGGAUGGUCAUUUAGAACUGGCAGACUAGAGUCUUGGAGAGGGGAGUGGAAUUCCAGGUGUAGCGGUGAAAUGCGUAGAUAUCUGGAGGAACAUCAGUGGCGAAGGCGACUCCCUGGCCAAAGACUGACGCUCAUGUGCGAAAGUGUGGGUAGCGAACAGGAUUAGAUACCCUGGUAGUCCACACCGUAAACGCUGUCUACUAGCUGUGUGUGCCUUUAAAGGCGUGCGUAGCGAAGCUAACGCGCUAAG